Molecule: ribosomal RNA, 450 nt
Filed under: uncultured Glomeromycotina
Lineage: Eukaryota; Fungi; Glomeromycota
Description: SSU rRNA
Rfam family: Eukaryotic small subunit ribosomal RNA
Source: RNAcentral
AGCAGCCGCGGUAAUUCCAGCUCCAAUAGCGUAUAUUAAAGUUGUUGCAGUUAAAAAGCUCGUAGUUGAAUUUCGGGGUUAGUAGGUUGGUCAUGCCUCUGGUAUGUACUGGUCUCACUGAUUCCUCCUUCCUGAUGAGCCGUAAUGCCAUUAAUUUGGUGUUGCGAGGAAUCUGGACUGUUACUUUGAAAAAUUAGAGUGUUUAAAGCAGGCUAACGCUUGAAUACAUUAGCAUGGAAUAAUGAAAUAGGACGUUCGAUCUUAUUUUGUUGGUUUCUAAGAUUGACGUAAUGAUUAAUAGGGAUAGUUGGGGGCAUUAGUGUUCAAUUGUCAGAGGUGAAAUUCUUGGACUUAUUGAAGACUAACUACUGCGAAAGCAUUUGCCAAGGAUGUUUUCAUUAAUCAAGAACGAAAGUUAGGGGAUCGAAGACGAUCAGAUACCGUCGUAGU